Parus major (Great Tit) is the source of this 4250-nucleotide long non-coding RNA. RefSeq lists it as uncharacterized. The record is from RefSeq and is a predicted model, not a curated record. The transcript is spliced from 3 exons. Lineage: Eukaryota; Metazoa; Chordata; Aves; Passeriformes; Paridae.
UGCUCUGUUUGUAUUUACAGGUUGGACUGUAAUUUGUGAAGAUACUGGAUGACAGGUCUUUGUCUGCCUGGCUGUUAAAAAGACAAGGUUGGCAUUCAAAAGGUGUCUCAUCAGACCCAUCAGGCGGAUGGAUGGAAGCACCACUGGUCCAAGAACGUGGCCUCAGUGUGAUGAUUCAAGCAUUUGAGCACUCACUUUAUGCGAUACAUUUACACUGAGAUGGUGAAAGAGGAAGUCUGAGGUGAGCUUCUGAGGAAGACGGUUCUGCAAAGGUAAAGGUUGCAGUGUAUUCUGCAUUCUGUAUUCUGCAUUCUGUAUUCUGCAUUCUGUAUUCUGCAUUCUGAAAAUGUUAAAGAAGGAAUUUGAAGGAGCUGGACACACUAAACUUCUAAUACAGUGUGUCUCCUUGUCAAGUGCCUCUAGCAACCCAAAUAUUUAAUUGUUCUCAGUUACCAAACUCCUUAACUGUCUGCACUGAAGUCAUGAGAAAAUUUAUAGAACUGCCUCUGUGUAAUGUGAUUAUUAAAAGAUCUGACUGCAUCUGGAAAAACAACUGCAGAUCAAGCUUUUCUUCCUAUUCAAAAACUGCUUGCUGAAGGACCUUCCAGCUCUCUGUCAUCAUUUGGCAUUCUCAGUGUUUUUCACGACAGGAACAAUGCCUGUUGUGUUAGAUGGUCUGUCUGACAUCCCUAAGCUUCAUGACAGAGGUGAAUUGAAAGUUCUCCACACAAGCAUUUAAUUCUCUGUUCCAAAGAGCAGAAGAAGUUCCAUGGACUGUACCCAAAACAGCAGAGACUUCAGGUAUGGUGGCAACUUUCUUCAGGUAGGAACUAUUAAAAUGAGAUUCAGAACAAAGAUCAUAAUCCUUUGCCUACCUCUUGUGUGCAAACCAAGUGCAAGCUUACAUGUAAUAAAUACACAGUUGGACUGAAUGACCCUAAAAUUAUUUUCCAGCCUAAAGUAUUCCAUGAUUCUAUGAUAGAAUAGCCAAUGGAAGAGAUAGGGAACAUCAGUGGCAGAAAUGGGAUGCCUGCAGGAGCGCUUCUUUUCUUUCCCUGAGAAAUCUUGAUUCUCUUUAGCCAGUUAAUUUGGAAAGUGGGAGCUCAAGAAGAUCUUUAAUUUAGCACUGGCAGUAAUUCCCACCGGCAGCCUAAUCCCAACGCUCACAUCAGAUCCAGGUGCUCAGAUUAGGAGGUUAGACCCCCCCAUGGCAUCAGUGGACAGGGAGAUAUCCUGCAGAGCCUGUAGAAAGUGGGACCUUACCUCAUCUUGAAGGAAUCUUUGCCCUGAGGACAAGAGGAAUUUGGCGGGACUCUUGCCACGUGUAGGUGGUAUGAAAACUGAAUUACGGGGCAAGGCAACUGCAGUGAAAACACACUCACUGAAGGCUGCAUUAAUAUAAUUUUGAAUAACGAUUAUGUGAGAGGAAACCAAUUUGCUUUUAGAUAUCCCACAAACAGAAAAAAUAUCAGAUAAACUAUUCAUUGUGAAUUAUUUGCAUAGACCGAUAGGAACUCAUUAAACACUGAAAGACUGAUUUGCAAGAAAGAAAUGGAGAAAGUAUUUAAUCUGGUAUUUCUUGUCUCAUAAGCUUCCAAUAAUUGUCUAUCCAGCAAAUUAAUUUGUCUCUUUCUUCUUCUGUUAUUCUGUACUUCAUGGACCCUUCUUACUGAGUGUUUUACAGCAGAGAUUUUCUGUGAGCUAAAGAGCUUGAAUUUCACAGAUAUGUAUUAAAGUGCAUCGGGAAACAGUAGAAGACAUCACAUUUUCUCCACUUAUUGUGGCUGAAUUGCUACAAAUUUUAAAUUACCAUACUUAAAAGUAUUAGCUACAGAUACAUAAAUCUCUCAUUUUUCUGAACACAUCCCAGCCUCUACAGGCCAGGAAUCCAGCUUUUAUGCUAAGUAACAUGACAAGCAAUGCAAGGUGUCUCUGUUUCUGAAUAUACAAUCUGAGCCAAUUUAAAGGGACAUAGCUUGGGGCAAGCUAAAUUGCAAUACCAUACUUGAGCUGGAAAACACUGGAUUUUUGGAAAAAAGGGGCUGAAUCAGUAUCUAGGUUGUUGCAAGCAGGUUUUUUUGUGUAACCUCUUCUUGAAACCCUGCUAAACAUGGUCCCACAGCCAGCCUAGGCAUAUUCCCAGUGCAUGCCUAUUUUUGGAAUUAGGAUAUACAAAUUGAAUUAUAUUUGCUGCAAAUUAAACUGAUUGUGUCUUGUCCCACCUUCAGGGGACCCAAGAAACAUUUGAUACUUGUUCUUAUAUAUCCUUUUCAUACAGAAAAGUGUUACUGUGAUUCUCAAAUUUAUCUCUCCUAGAAUAAGCAGACUUUCUUGAAGACAGUGCAUUUUUCUGACUCCUCAUUCUCAUUUAAUUCCGUACUCUUUCCAAGGGUCAUGCCCACAGUGUUCAGUUGAAGAUUCAUCUCCUCUAAGGAGAACAGAAAAAAAUGUCUUCCAUGUCUUCUCUAUGUGAUUCUUUUAAUAAAUUGGGUAAGGAUUAGAUGUGGUGGCUUUGUAGCGUUGCCACAGUUUUUAUUCACUGUGAAGCAGUGACCAAGUGCAAUCUCUGAUGCUCUUCUGCAAAACUGUUGUUUUAUCAGUUUUUCCAUACUUUGUGUUUGCACCACUGAUUUCUCUUUCCCCAUGGACUUGGCUUUUCUGAAUCUCUUAUAGUUGAUUUCACAUCAUUCUUUCUUUCAAUGGUCUGUCUGAGUGUUUUUUGACUCUGUUCUCAGCCUUCAGAAUUCUGCAGUUCUUCCCAACUCAGGCAGACAGUGUUUUAUUAAUAUAUUCCUUUGUGCACUAUCCAAGCUGGUAAUAGUGAAAACAUUGAAUGGAGCUGGCCCUGAAUAGCCCAUGUAGGAUCUUCUCCUCGUGUGUCUGCUAAGAGUACCACUGAGUGCACCAAAUAUGAGCAUACACACGCAUGCAAAUGUAGAGAUGGAUUUGAAAUUUGACCCGAUAAUUCCUAUUGUACCACAAUUACCCUGGGAUUUGAACACAAUUAAAUUUCAGAAACACUUUUGUUUUUUCAAAAUAGUGCCAUUAGACAUUGUAAUUGUUUUGUUUUCAAAGCACAGACCAAAACUGCUACCACAAAACCCACUGUGAUUCUGUAACUGUUGUAAAAAACAAUGACAUGCCCUCUCCUAACACUAAACACUAAACUCACAGUACAUAUUUUGUAAAAAUUAGUAGCAUGCUUGGCUUUUGUUCCCUCUGCAGUAUUUUGGAUAUCCAUCAUUAGAUCACCUUUCUUGUGGUGUAUUGAGGAAAGGAGAAAAACGAUCAUUUUGUCAGAAUUGUGGAUUAUUUUCCUUUGCCAAUGGAAGUCAUGUUGGCUUAGGCCAUAGGGGAAUGGACUGAGAUCAGCCUUUUGCACAGGAAUCUCUUAUGUGCAUGUCUGUGAGAAAAAUGAGGAUGAGAAGCAAGGAGAGAGAAGGAGGGUGGCAUUGCAGGAGGGCAAGGUGCCAGAGAAUCUUCCUCUGAAGGAAGACAGUGAUCUUGAAAUGUGUGUUGUCUCUUUCAGAAGAGAGGGAACAGUCCUGCUGGAGGUGUGGAAAGCAGAGCCUUUGUGGCACAGAGACUUGGUGGGAUAACCCACCGGUCCUUGGGCAGACUGGCAGGACCUGGCUGCCUGCAGAGCUCUGUCACCUCCCUGUUUUGAGGGCAUGCCAUUUCUCCAUUUGUAAGCGGAAGACCUUUUUCCCCUUUCUUUUUCCCCCAGACUUUGUAGCUGAGGGAGGAGCCCAGGAAUUAGAAACCCUUUGGUAUUUCAUUACUGGCACAUUGCUGGAAAAAUGCAGUCCUUUAGGCAGUGACCCAGUUAAGGGUCCUACUUCUGCAGAAAUUUGGUUGCUCCCACCUAUGCCUAGUGAGCCAUUCCUUGUCUCUCCCACACUCUCUGGAAGGUUCUAUCCCUCUCUUUGCAGGUAUAAAUCAAUACAAACAAGAACUGCAUAUUCCUUGCUAGUCAUUGCCUAGUUCCCCAGGCACUGACCGAGUCAUUGCCUUCCCAUCAGCCUCAACGGGAAGUUGCAUAAUGCGGCAGACACACAAUGGAGAAAGGGAUAUUUUUAAAUGUGUGCUUUAUUUUUAUUUUUUUUUAACCUGUAUAAAUAAAUACAAAAUGACAAAGAGGUUCAUGUUUACUAAACAUUGCAUUUCAUUGUAUGACAUUACACAGUGUGUGUCACAAUAGCUUACUUUGUAAUUGUGUCCUUUUAGCUGUUGGUGCAUAAUUCUAUCAC